GCCAAUGUGGUGGAAUUGGUAGACACGACGGACUCAAAAUCCGUUGCUAGCAAUAGUGUGAGGGUUCGAGUCCCUCCAUUGGUA
RNAcentral lists this transfer RNA (84 nucleotides) under bacterium. RNAcentral describes it as "tRNA-Leu". It matches the Rfam family "tRNA". Rfam says of the family: Transfer RNA (tRNA) molecules are approximately 80 nucleotides in length. Their secondary structure includes four short double-helical elements and three loops (D, anti-codon, and T loops). The record is from RNAcentral. RNAcentral also lists the same sequence under 2 other names.